Molecule: non-coding RNA, 31 nt
Filed under: Mus musculus (house mouse)
Lineage: Eukaryota; Metazoa; Chordata; Mammalia; Rodentia; Muridae
Source: RNAcentral
UGCAAUCUUUUCUAAGAUGUUCAGAGCAACU